GGGCCCGCACAAGCGGUGGAGCAUGUGGUUUAAUUCGAUGAUACGCGAGGAACCUUACCAGGGCUUAAAUGGGAGAUGACAGGGGCAGAGACGCCCUUUUCUUCGGACAUCUUUCAAGGUGCUGCAUGGUUGUCGUCAGCUCGUGCCGUGAGGUGUCAGGUUAAGUCCUAUAACGAGCGCAACCCCUACCGUUAGUUGCCAGCGAUUCAAGUCGGGGACUCUAACGGGACUGCCGGUGCAAACCGUGAGGAAGGUGGGGACGACGUCAAAUCAUCACGGCCCUUACGUCCUGGGCUACACACGUGCUACAAUGGUCGGUACAGAGGGAAGCUACCCCGUAAGGGGAUGCGGAUCUAUAAAACCGAUCUCAGUUCGGAUUGGAGUCUGGAACUCGACUCCAUG
Molecule: ribosomal RNA, 402 nt
Filed under: uncultured bacterium
Lineage: Bacteria
Description: bacterial SSU rRNA
Rfam family: Bacterial small subunit ribosomal RNA
Source: RNAcentral